AAAAGGAUCACUUUGGACGUCAUGUUAAAGGUUUUGAAUUAAAUAUAAUAAAAACAGAGAGGCAACCUACUACUUCUGGUUAGUGCUGAUCUGAGAGUUGGUGGGCACAUGAGGGAAGAUUCCAGAAACCUCUGCUGAGUCAGGUAGCAAUUGAGCUGAGUCUUGAAAAGCAAGAGUUCUGAAGUCCUGCCACUUCUGUCCCAAAGAAAAUGAAAACUGCUGACAUGUCCUGGAUGCCCCUGGGAAGGAACUGUCUGAUGUUAGCCUGGAGUGUGAACCAGGAAUCUCAGGAGACAGGGAGAAGAAAUUUCAAGGAUCCAGCAACCAAAGACCAAAUCGGAUUUGGAACAAGGCUGAGGAGAGGCAGAAGAAAGCCAACUUUGAAACAACUGGCCUGCGUUCACAAGCUGGACAAGAAGGUAGCUUGACCACAAGAAGCAAAGAGACUCACCGUAGACAUUUAGAUAUGCCCGUCCCCAAACCAAGGCCCUUCUGCAUGUGACCCUAAACCUAAAACCCUCCACAACUUCCUUGUCACAAACGUUCCAAACUGGAGACCUUAGCAGCCCAAGGGGCCAGGGCCGUCUUUACCUUUUUCUCUGGGUGGAUCAGUACCAGGAUAGUUCUCAAAUAUGUCUUGUUAACGUCUCUGCCUCUAAGAUCUCACUUACAUUUUCUACACUUUUGAUUCUCAGGAAGCUGGGGUUCCA
RNAcentral lists this long non-coding RNA (710 nucleotides) under Equus asinus (donkey). RNAcentral describes it as "lncRNA (ENSEASG00005036417.1)". Lineage: Eukaryota; Metazoa; Chordata; Mammalia; Perissodactyla; Equidae. The record is from RNAcentral.